Molecule: ribosomal RNA, 504 nt
Filed under: uncultured bacterium
Lineage: Bacteria
Description: partial 16S ribosomal RNA
Rfam family: Bacterial small subunit ribosomal RNA
Source: RNAcentral
GACGAACGCUGGCGGCGUGCUUAACACAUGCAAGUCGAACGGUGAAGCGCUUGCCUUUUUGGUGGGUGUGGAUGAGUGGCGAACGGGUGAGUAACACGUGAGUAACCUGCCCUCUUCUUCUGGAUAACCUCAUGAAAGUGGGGCUAAUACGGGGUAUUCCGGGUCUGUCGCAUGGCGGGUUUGGGAAAGAUUGCGCCUUUGGGUGUUUUCGGUGGGGGAUGGGCUCGCGGCCUAUCAGCUUGUUGGUGGGGUGAUGGCCUACCAAGGCGGUGACGGGUAGCCGGCCUGAGAGGGUGGACGGCCACACUGGGACUGAGACACGGACCAGACUCCUGCGGGAGGCAGCAGUGGGGAAGAUUGCACAAUGGGCGCAAGCCUGAUGCAGCGACGCCGCGUGAGGGAUGGAGGCCUUCGGGUUGUGAACCUCUUUCGCCAGUGAAGCAGGCCUGCUCCUGUGUGGGUGGGUUGACGGUAGCUGGAUAAGAAGCGCCGGCUAACUACGUG